UGCAAGUCGAACGAUUAACCCUUCUUCGGAAGGUCAUAAAGUGGCGAACGGGUGAGUAACACGUGACCAACCUGCCUCUCACAUUGGGAUAACUUAGAGAAAUCUAAGCUAAUACCAAAUACUCUUGAUCUGCCGCAUAACAGACCAAGGAAAGCUUUCGCGGUGAGAGAUGGGGUCGCGGCCCAUUAGGUAGUUGGUGGGGUAGAGGCCUACCAAGCCGAUGAUGGGUAGCCGGGUUGAGAGACCGACCGGCCACAUUGGGACUGAGAUACGGCCCAGACUCC
RNAcentral lists this ribosomal RNA (284 nucleotides) under uncultured bacterium. Its description in RNAcentral is "partial 16S ribosomal RNA". It matches the Rfam family "Bacterial small subunit ribosomal RNA", at positions 56 to 339 of the family's 1533-position model. The record is from RNAcentral.